Molecule: non-coding RNA, 481 nt
Organism: Myodes glareolus (Bank vole)
Lineage: Eukaryota; Metazoa; Chordata; Mammalia; Rodentia; Cricetidae
Source: RefSeq, a predicted model, not a curated record
AUCUCUUCUUUGUUCUGCAGCAAUGGAUCAUAGCUCUUUCUCCUUCCCGCUACAGCUGGAAGAGAAAUGGAAGAGAAAUAAUGAAUUCAGUCUUUUAGACACUUCAUCCGCCCUUUUGUCAGUGGAUGGGCCAAAUUCAGCAUAAGGUUUCCAGUUCUACCUCAACUCUGAGGCUCUGGCCAGAAAACUGGCUUCCCAGGUCUUCAGCAGGAAUCUGUCUCCUGCGGUCCAAGGCAGCACUGCCGCCCUUGACUCUGGCUGCCUGUAAUGACGCCUUCCUGGAACCUGUAACGAUUCAAGUCCACACGCCCGAGGAGAAUGUUCUGGUGCAUUUAGGCCAAAGAAGCGCUGAGAAGGUGGCCUGGCUCAGAUCACCAGCGGGGAUAAGCAGGCAAUCGCUGGGGGACUGCCAGAGAUGUGUUAUCUGAGGAGGAUCCCACUACUAAUCCAUUCCCAACAUUUGAAGACUCUGACCUGAGGU